This 511-nucleotide ribosomal RNA is filed under the name uncultured bacterium. Its description in RNAcentral is "bacterial SSU rRNA". It matches the Rfam family "Bacterial small subunit ribosomal RNA", at positions 8 to 518 of the family's 1533-position model. The record is from RNAcentral.
AGGGUUCGAUUCUGGCUCAGGAUGAACGCUGGCGGCACGCUUAACACAUGCAAGUCGAACGAAGCUUACGGAAGUGCGUUUCGGACAAACGGAGGUAAGACUUAGUGGCGGACGGGUGCGUAACGCGUGGGUAACCUACCCUGGACUGGGGGAUAACGUAUAGAAAUGUACGCUAAUACCGCAUAAGCUCACGGGACCGCAUGGUCCAGUGGGAAAAGCCGAGACGGUCUAGGAUGGGCCCGCGUCUGAUUAGCUAGUUGGUGGGGUAACGGCCUACCAAGGCAACGAUCAGUAGCCGGUCUGAGAGGAUGGACGGCCACAUUGGGACUGAGACACGGCCCAAACUCCUACGGGAGGCAGCAGUGGGGAAUAUUGCACAAUGGGGGAAACCCUGAUGCAGCCGAUGCCGCGUGAAGGACGAAGUGUUUCGGCACGUAAACUUCUAUCAGCAAGGAAGAAGAAAGACAGUACUUGAGUAAGCAGCCCCGGCUAACUACGUGCCAGCCGCUGC